GAUAACCCCUUAUCCCUCUUUAUACCUAAACGCAAAUUUUUUAUCUGAGAAUAGUAGUUUUCGGAUUUCUAAAAUAAUCUAGUAUAACUAUUCCUACCAACACCUCUAUUUUUUAUAUAUAAUUACCUAUUAUUUUUCUUAUUCCAUAUUAUCUAUCCAAACGCUAUUUCUCUUAUUCCCGGAAAUAACCCAAUUUUCAUUCAAACGCUAUUUUUUUUAUUCCUAUACUUGUACCUAUUCUCGUAAUAGCUAGUUCUUACUUAUACCUAAAUCAAACGCUACCUUAGAGAAAAAUAACUAUGUCGCAUUAUAUGAAAAUUCGAAUUUUCUCCAUUAACUUACU
This 343-nucleotide long non-coding RNA is filed under the name Ananas comosus (pineapple). RNAcentral describes it as "long non-coding RNA (ACOM_LNC000034)". The record is from RNAcentral. Lineage: Eukaryota; Viridiplantae; Streptophyta; Magnoliopsida; Poales; Bromeliaceae.